This 74-nucleotide transfer RNA is filed under the name Capra hircus (goat). It matches the Rfam family "tRNA". Rfam says of the family: Transfer RNA (tRNA) molecules are approximately 80 nucleotides in length. Their secondary structure includes four short double-helical elements and three loops (D, anti-codon, and T loops). Lineage: Eukaryota; Metazoa; Chordata; Mammalia; Artiodactyla; Bovidae. The record is from Rfam by way of RNAcentral. RNAcentral also lists the same sequence under 1 other name.
UUCCUGGUGGUCCAGUGUUUAGGACUCUGCACUUUCACUGCAAAGGGGCAUGGGUUCAAUCCCUGGUUGGGGAA